GACGAACGCUGGCGGCGUGCUUAACACAUGCAAGUCGAACGGAAAUGCCCUGCUUUUGUGGGGUGCUCGAGUGGCGAACGGGUGAGUAACACGUUAGUAACCUGCCCUUGACUUUGGGAUAACUUCAGGAAACUGGGGCUAAUACCGGAUAGGAGCUCCUGCUGCAUGGUGUGGGUUGGAAAGUUUCUGCGGUUGGGGAUGGACUCGCGGCUUAUCAGCUUGUUGGUGGGGUAGUGGCUUACCAAGGCUUUGACGGGUAGCCGGCCUGAGAGGGUGACCGGCCACAUUGGGACUGAGAUACGGCCCAGACUCCUACGGGAGGCAGCAGUGGGGAAUAUUGCACAAUGGGCGGAAGCCUGAUGCAGCAACGCCGCGUGAGGGAUGAAGGCCUUAGGGUUGUAAACCGCUUUCGCCUGUGACGAAGCGUGAGUGACGGUAAUGGGUAAAGAAGCACCGGCUAACUACGUG
Molecule: ribosomal RNA, 468 nt
Filed under: uncultured bacterium
Lineage: Bacteria
Description: partial 16S ribosomal RNA
Rfam family: Bacterial small subunit ribosomal RNA
Source: RNAcentral